GACGAACGCUGGCGGCGUGCCUAAUACAUGCAAGUAGAACGCUGAAGGAGGAGCUUGCUUCUCCGGAUGAGUUGCGAACGGGUGAGUAACGCGUAGGUAACCUGCCUGGUAGCGGGGGAUAACUAUUGGAAACGAUAGCUAAUACCGCAUAAGAGUAGAUGUUGCAUGACAUUUGCUUAAAAGGUGCAAUUGGAUCACUACCAGAUGGACCUGCGUUGUAUUAGCUAGUUGGUGGGGUAACGGCUCACCAAGGCGACGAUACAUAGCCGACCUGAGAGGGUGAUCGGCCACACUGGGACUGAGACACGGCCCAGACUCCUACGGGAGGCAGCAGUAGGGAAUCUUCGGCAAUGGACGGAAGUCUGACCGAGCAACGCCGCGUGAGUGAAGAAGGUUUUCGGAUCGUAAAGCUCUGUUGUAAGAGAAGAACGAGUGUGAGAGUGGAAAGUUCAC
This 453-nucleotide ribosomal RNA is filed under the name Streptococcus mitis. RNAcentral describes it as "bacterial SSU rRNA". It matches the Rfam family "Bacterial small subunit ribosomal RNA", at positions 28 to 467 of the family's 1533-position model. The record is from RNAcentral. Lineage: Bacteria; Bacillati; Bacillota; Bacilli; Lactobacillales; Streptococcaceae.